RNAcentral lists this ribosomal RNA (393 nucleotides) under uncultured soil bacterium. RNAcentral's name for it is "bacterial SSU rRNA". It matches the Rfam family "Bacterial small subunit ribosomal RNA", at positions 26 to 421 of the family's 1533-position model. The record is from RNAcentral.
AGGAUGAACGCUGGCGGCGUGCUUAACACAUGCAAGUCGAACGAUGAAGGCUGGAGCUUGCUCUGGCUGGAUUAGUGGCGAACGGGUGAGUAACACGUGAGUAACCUGCCCCAGACUCUGGGAUAAGCGCUGGAAACGGCGUCUAAUACCGGAUACGAGCUUCCACCGCAUGGUGAGGAGCUGGAAAGAAUUUCGGUCUGGGAUGGACUCGCGGCCUAUCAGCUUGUUGGUGAGGUAAUGGCUCACCAAGGCGACGACGGGUAGCCGGCCUGAGAGGGUGACCGGCCACACUGGGACUGAGACACGGCCCAGACUCCUACGGAGCAGCAGUGGGAAUAUUGCACAAUGGCGCAAGCUGAUGCAGCAACGCCGCGUGAGGACGAAGCCGUGGUU